CCCUUAGAUGUUCUGGGCCGCACGCGCGCUACACUGACGGAUUCAACGAGCUUACAACCUUGGCCGAAAGGUCUGGGUAAUCUCCAAAAUCCGUCGUGAUGGGGAUAGAUUAUUGCAAUUAUUAAUCUUCAACGAGGAAUGCCUAGUAAGCGCAAGUCAUCAGCUUGCGUUGAUUACGUCCCUGCCCUUUGUACACACCGCCCGUCGCUCCUACCGAUUGAAUGGUCCGGUGAAGCGUUUGGACUAUGGUUUUCUGAUGGUCCGCCGUUGGAUUACCGUGGGAAGUUCGUUAAACCUUAUCAUUUAGAGGAAGGAGAAGUCGCAACA
This 327-nucleotide ribosomal RNA is filed under the name uncultured eukaryote. RNAcentral describes it as "partial 18S ribosomal RNA". It matches the Rfam family "Eukaryotic small subunit ribosomal RNA", at positions 1470 to 1796 of the family's 1831-position model. The record is from RNAcentral.